RNAcentral lists this ribosomal RNA (164 nucleotides) under uncultured bacterium. RNAcentral's name for it is "partial 16S rRNA". It matches the Rfam family "Bacterial small subunit ribosomal RNA", at positions 355 to 511 of the family's 1533-position model. The record is from RNAcentral.
UAGGGAAUCUUCCACAAUGGACGCAAGUCUGAUGGAGCAACGCCGCGUGAGUGAAGAAGGUCUUCGGAUCGUAGAACUCUGUUGUUAGAGAAGAACACGAGUGAGAGUAACUGUUCAUUCGAUGACGGUAUCUAACCAGCAAGUCACGGCUAACUACGUGCCAG